GAAAAAUGGCAAAAAACUUAUCCUCUGUCUCCGCCGCCGCAACCACCACUCCCAUCCUACCGGCUCAGGCCACCGGCCCUGCUCCCGUCUUCCUGGCUCUAGCCACUGCCCUGCUCCCGUCUCCCUGGCUCCGGCCGCUGCCCCCGCUCUCGUCUCCCCUGGCUCCAGCCGCCGCCCCGCUCCCGUCUCCCUUGGUUCCAGUCGUCGCCCCGCUCCCAUCUCCCCUGGCUCCGGUCGUCGCCCCACUCCCGUUUCCCCUGGCUCCGGCUGUCGCCCCGCUCCCGUCUCACCUAGCUCCGGCCGUCGCACCGCUCUCGUCUCCCCCCGGCUCCAGCCGCCGCCCCGAUCGCGUCUCCCCUGGCUCUGGCCGCCGCCCUGCUCCUAUCUCCCCCGGCUCCGGCCGCCGCCCACCCCCGUCUCUCCCGCCAUUGGCCACCGCCCCACCCCCAUAUCUACUAGAUCAAGAUGCCACCUCGUCCCCAAUUCCUUCCGGACCCCCAACGUUGUCUAGCUCGCCUCCCGGUCAACGCCGGCAAGCCCUCUCGCAACUCAUCCUUGCUCCUCCCGAGACCAAAGCGUGCAGCCGCCGGCAACCUGGCCGUCGUGCGUCACUGUUGGUCGCAUUCCUCCGCGCCUCCCUAAUCCACCACGCGUCACUACUGCCGCUGCGACGUCACCCCCUGCCGCCAAAGGUCACAGUCCGUUCAAACUGAGUCGCCAGGCCGUUCGUCACCACCACCAAAGCCCGUUCAAUUGGUGUCGUUCAUACAACUGCCAAUGUGGUUGCUGGGGCUAGUCAACUGGAAGAUCUACAGGUCAUCAGUCCGACUUCUUGCUCCGCCACCGGUCACUCAAAAAAGAGUCGCAUGUUGGCCACCCCAUGCUCUGCCCCCUGAUCCGGCAUUUUCUUUUCAAAAAUUUAAAGAGACUCAAGUCCAACUCGCAAACCAAUAGAAGUCCGCAGGCCACUACUACAGCAAAUAUCCGAGUGAGUUGCUGUACAACUUGAGUUCGAUGAGAGGGUGAUAAAUUUAAGAAGAAUCAGGGUCGUAUGCGUGCUGUGUCAUUGAUCUUUCUCUGAACAAUGCUUUCUCUGCCAUGGACGGAUGCCUUCUCUGUAGAUAAGUGCAUAUGAGACUCUAUGCUCUGAAGGUGCUUGUUGAUAUGCCAAUGAGAACAUGUACAUUUUUCUGCAGGUUUUCUUGUUGAUUUAUGAGGGAUACCACAAGUUCUAUUUUUACAGAAGUUGAACUAUAGGAUAUGAAGUUUGAUGGAUGCAGAGGUCAAAGGGGCUCCCUUCUGUUGCUGCCUACUAGAACUUGCGUGUAUGCUGUGGCGUGUGUGCUGGUGCAUGCCUGGUGCCUGAUGCGGCGUGCGAGCAUGUACACAAAUUGAACUGAGUGAUCUCUAGUAAGUGAACUCAAUGAUCUCCUGUAUCUGAACGACAGGGGAGAUGCAUCAUGUACAAAAAAAUGGUAGGAUAUUGAGGUGUUGCUGCUACUUCUUUCUUCUCAUGCCCUACUGUUGCUCCAUUUGAUUUCAUGCUACUUAUAUGAAAAUAAUUGAUGGUCUAGGUGCUUGUUGAAAUGCUUAUGAGAACCAAAUUUUGUUGUUUGGUAUUUGGCAUAAUAGGGCAAAGAAAGGAUACCCUAUGUUGCCUCUUAAACAUUCACACAGAAAGAAUAGAACUACUCCGUACACAUUAUGCGCCGGCGUCAGAACAUGUUAUACUAAUUAUUAAGUUCAGGAACUAUGUUCUAAACUGAAGCUCAGACAAGGAGACGGGGAUAUAUAGACAGAAUGAUGUGCCGUGUGCUGUUAGUUCAGAAUAGUUCUCCGUCGUCGCCGCUGCAGGUUCAUGACCAAGAGGGUGGAGGGCCAGCACUGGGACUAGGCAUCCCGUUCUCCG
Triticum aestivum (bread wheat) is the source of this 1909-nucleotide long non-coding RNA. RefSeq lists it as uncharacterized. NCBI's taxonomy places the organism in Eukaryota, Viridiplantae, Streptophyta, Magnoliopsida, Poales, Poaceae. The record is from RefSeq and is a predicted model, not a curated record. The transcript is spliced from 3 exons.